This 756-nucleotide ribosomal RNA is filed under the name uncultured bacterium. RNAcentral's name for it is "bacterial SSU rRNA". It matches the Rfam family "Bacterial small subunit ribosomal RNA", at positions 576 to 1330 of the family's 1533-position model. The record is from RNAcentral.
UGGUUUGUCGUGUUGUUCGUGAAAUCUCACGGCUUAACUGUGAGCGUGCGGGCGAUACGGGCAGACUUGAGUACUGCAGGGGAGACUGGAAUUCCUGGUGUAGCGGUGGAAUGCGCAGAUAUCAGGAGGAACACCGGUGGCGAAGGCGGGUCUCUGGGCAGUAACUGACGCUGAGGAGCGAAAGCGUGGGGAGCGAACAGGAUUAGAUACCCUGGUAGUCCACGCCGUAAACGGUGGGUACUAGGUGUGGGUUUCCUUCCUUGGGAUCCGUGCCGUAGCUAACGCAUUAAGUACCCCGCCUGGGGAGUACGGCCGCAAGGCUAAAACUCAAAGAAAUUGACGGGGGCCCGCACAAGCGGCGGAGCAUGUGGAUUAAUUCGAUGCAACGCGAAGAACCUUACCUGGGUUUGACAUGCACAGGACGCCGGCAGAGAUGUCGGUUCCCUCGUGGCCUGUGUGCAGGUGGUGCAUGGCUGUCGUCAGCUCGUGUCGUGAGAUGUUGGGUUAAGUCCCGCAACGAGCGCAACCCUUGUCUCAUGUUGCCAGCGGGUAAUGCCGGGGACUCGUGAGAGACUGCCGGGGUCAACUCGGAGGAAGGUGGGGAUGACGUCAAGUCAUCAUGCCCCUUAUGUCCAGGGCUUCACACAUGCUACAAUGGCCGGUACAAAGGGCUGCGAUGCCGCGAGGUUAAGCGAAUCCUUUUAAAGCCGGUCUCAGUUCGGAUCGGGGUCUGCAACUCGACCCCGUGAAGUCGGA